GGGUGGGAGGGCGAUCUGGCUGCGACAUCUGUCACCUCAGUGAUCACCAGGAUUGAUUCGGCUGACCUGGCUUGGCUAGGUGGGUGUCCCCUUCCCCCCUUACCACUCCCAUGUGUGUCCCUCCCAAAGCUAGGUGCUUGGUCGAAGAGGAUAGCCGUCCCCGAUUUUACAAAAAAAAAAAA
Molecule: small nuclear RNA, 182 nt
Filed under: Mustela putorius furo (domestic ferret)
Lineage: Eukaryota; Metazoa; Chordata; Mammalia; Carnivora; Mustelidae
Description: 7SK RNA
Rfam family: 7SK RNA
About the family: 7SK was discovered as an abundant small nuclear RNA in the mid-70s but a possible function has only recently been suggested. Two independent studies have found that 7SK RNA binds the CDK9/cyclin T complex (known as elongation factor P-TEFb).
Source: Rfam by way of RNAcentral